CUUUCAGGUAAGGAGCUAAACAGAACCUGCUGCCUGAAUGGGGGAACCUGCAUGCUGGGGUCCUUUUGUGCCUGCCCUCCCUCCUUCUACGGACGGAACUGUGAGCACGAUGUGCGCAAAGAGUAAGCAAUUCAGAGGGGCGGGGAGCCGUGGAGAGGAGAGAGAAAGGGAAGUGGAAAUUUCAGACCCAAGGCUAUCGCCUUACCUGUUCAUUCUCAGGAACUGUGGGUCUGUGCCCCAUGACACCUGGCUGCCCAAGAAGUGUUCCCUGUGUAAAUGCUGGCACGGUCAGCUCCGCUGCUUUCCUCAGGCAUUUCUACCCGGCUGUGAUGGCCUUGUGAUGGAUGAGCACCUCGUGGCUUCCAGGACUCCAGAACUACCACCGUCUGCACGUACUACCACUUUUAUGCUAGUUGGCAUCUGCCUUUCUAUACAAAGCUACUAUUAAUCGACAUUGACCUAUUUCCAGAAAUACAAUUUUAGAUAUCAUGCAAAUUUCAUGACCAGUAAAGGCUGCUGCUACAAUGUCCUAACUGAAAGAUGAUCAUUUGUAGUUGCCUUAAAAUAAUGAAUACAUUUCCAAAAUGGUCUCUAACAUUUCCUUACAGAACUACUUCUUACUUCUUUGCCCUGCCCUCUCCC
This 642-nucleotide long non-coding RNA is filed under the name Homo sapiens (human). RNAcentral's name for it is "HSALNT0054017". The record is from RNAcentral. Lineage: Eukaryota; Metazoa; Chordata; Mammalia; Primates; Hominidae.